UACGUAGGGACCAAGCGUUGUCCGGAAUCAUUGGGCGUAAAGAGCGUGUAGGCGGCUUGUUAAGUCUUGCGUGAAAUCUCGGGGCUCAACCCCGAGCGGUCGUGAGAAACUGGCAGGCUAGAGUGCGGGAGAGGAGAGUGGAAUUCCUGGUGUAGCGGUGAAAUGCGCAGAUAUCAGGAAGAACACCCGUGGCGAAGGCGGCUCGCUGGAACGCAACUGACGCUGAGACGCGAAAGCGUGGGGAGCAAACAGG
This 253-nucleotide ribosomal RNA is filed under the name uncultured bacterium. RNAcentral's name for it is "partial 16S ribosomal RNA". It matches the Rfam family "Bacterial small subunit ribosomal RNA", at positions 524 to 776 of the family's 1533-position model. The record is from RNAcentral.